GUGAGUUCAUUACAAGCCCAACAAGCAAAUAUAUACAGCAGAAGACUGUACAGAGCAAGAAUAUUCUCUGAUUGUGGUAUAAAUUACAGUAUCCUAAUAAAAGUCCCAUUUACUUCCUUCUGAGAUGAUAACAACGCCAAAAACUUACCUCUUAGACACUCUGAAAUUGCAAGAUAUGGGUUUUACAUUAAAUGUAAAGGCAGGUGUAAUGACGAGUCAAUUGCAUAAAUCAAGUAGGUUGAAUGAAAUUUCAAAAUUUAACGAGUUAUGAUUAUUUGAUUGUUAACGUUUAAAUGAGCUAAGUUCUCAAAGAAUGUAAAAAAUUGAUUUAUUUGGUUGGUACUAAGUAUUUACUGGAAAGUAAAAAUCCAUUUUUUUCUACUUCCCAUUAAGUACUCUAAGCUAAUUUACUUCCUAAGAAACAGGUUUUCAAAAGUGGUUCAUUUGAACCAAACAAGGCCUUAAUUUGAGGAUUGCAGAGGAGAUGAAAGAAAUGAGGACUCCAUCUUUGGCCAAAUGAUAUCCAAACAGAAAUGAUAUGAAUCUGCAUUCCAUUAUUCCCACACUUCCAUUUAUGAUAUAAUGGCAUGGCCACCCUUCCUUCUACAAGGAUCAAUCGCUGCCACCAUCCUUGCAACCUUCGUGCACAUUGAACUUGGCUAGUUUAGAUGUUCCAGCGAUUUGCAGUUCAGUGGGAUCAUUUGGAAGGAAAAUUAUGCGACCUCUAGAGUCUGGAGCGCUGCAAUGCUGAAUCAGAAUAGGUGUUUCCCCAAAAACUUACAAUAACUCAUGAAACCAAGCUACUUGAUUAAUUUGUUGAGUGGCACUCCAUGAAAUAGAUGAUGGAUUUUAAGGGACUUGAGCAACCAAGUGUUGUGGAGAGGUCACAUGCAUAAUCUAUGAUUGUUGCCAUUUGGAAAUGAA
Molecule: unclassified non-coding RNA, 924 nt
Filed under: Hevea brasiliensis (rubber tree)
Lineage: Eukaryota; Viridiplantae; Streptophyta; Magnoliopsida; Malpighiales; Euphorbiaceae
Source: RNAcentral